UUAGAUAAAGAUGAGAAAGAUUUAAGAUCAACUCCAAACCUGAGCCUGGAUGAUGUAAAGGUGAAAGUGGAAAAGAAAGAACAGAUGGAUCCUUGUAAUACAAACCCAACCCCAAUGACCAAACCCACUCCUGAGGAAAUAAAACUGGAGGCCCAGAGCCAGUUUACAGCUGACCUUGACCAGUUUGAUCAGUUACUGCCCACGCUGGAGAAAGCAGCACAGUUGCCAGGCUUAUGUGAGACAGACAGGAUGGAUGGUGCGGUCACCAGUGUAACCAUCAAAUCGGAGAUCCUGCCAGCUUCACUUCAGUCCGCCACUGCCAGACCCACUUCCAGGCUAAAUAGUAUGUUUUGGGGACAACACCUCAUUUUAAACGUUUAGUGGUAAUGUGGAUUAGCAUUUUGUCUCUCACCAGUAUUACACAGAUCCUUCGCUUAAGAGUGAAAUAUCUUUUUAUUAACGCCACUAUAAAUAAUAAAACAGUUAUAUUUAGGCAUGUGAACGUCGUUCAUCAUGUGUAUUUUAAAUUAUAACCUCUACCCUUUUGUAAUUAAUGUUAAGGUGAGCAGUUGAUGUUAAGGAGAACAAUUUUGUCGUCUCACCCAAAACACCCCAUAACAGGACUUUUAGAAAUACAAUAUUGGGUCAGAUUGUUUCCACAUAUCUUCCUUGAAAACUAAUCCUGUGAGUUGCAGAAAUAAAAGAUUCUGUACUA
This 715-nucleotide small RNA is filed under the name Pongo abelii (Sumatran orangutan). RNAcentral's name for it is "retained intron". The record is from RNAcentral. Lineage: Eukaryota; Metazoa; Chordata; Mammalia; Primates; Hominidae.